AUGUCAAGAAAGAUUCAGUGAGAAUCUUUUAUGAUGAACCAUCUAGUGAAGUCGAAAGAGAAGUUCGACAGGAAGAAGUCAGAGGUGAAGCAGGCCCAAGCAUACCUCAAAGAACAAGACAUAUGCCUUCUAGGCAAAAGUCAGACCGGUCAAUGCAGCUGAGGCAUUGAAAGAUUUGAAGCAGAUGAAAUAAAUGGAUGAAGAACUUAAGUCAAUC
RNAcentral lists this long non-coding RNA (217 nucleotides) under Lathyrus oleraceus (garden pea). Its description in RNAcentral is "Pisum sativum (pea) long non-coding RNA (PSAT_LNC012677)". The record is from RNAcentral. Lineage: Eukaryota; Viridiplantae; Streptophyta; Magnoliopsida; Fabales; Fabaceae.